UACGUAGGGUGCGAGCGUUAAUCGGAAUUACUGGGCGUAAAGUGUGCGCAGGCGGCGCCGCAAGUCGAGUGUGAAAGCCCCGGGCUUAACUUGGGAAUUGCGCUCGAAACUAUGGUGCUGGAGUGUGGCAGAGGAAGGUGGAAUUCCACGUGUAGCGGUGAAAUGCGUAGAGAUGUGGAGGAACACCGGUGGCGAAGGCGGCAUCCUGGACCGGUAUUGACGCUGAGGAGCGAAAGCCAGGGGAGCAAACGGG
This 253-nucleotide ribosomal RNA is filed under the name uncultured bacterium. RNAcentral's name for it is "partial 16S ribosomal RNA". It matches the Rfam family "Bacterial small subunit ribosomal RNA", at positions 524 to 776 of the family's 1533-position model. The record is from RNAcentral.